GGGCUUAUAGCUCAGUUGGUUAGAGCACUCGGCUCAUAACCGAGUGGUCCUAGGUUCGAGUCCUAGUAGGCCCACCA
This 77-nucleotide transfer RNA is filed under the name bacterium ADurb.Bin363. Its description in RNAcentral is "tRNA-Met". It matches the Rfam family "tRNA". Rfam says of the family: Transfer RNA (tRNA) molecules are approximately 80 nucleotides in length. Their secondary structure includes four short double-helical elements and three loops (D, anti-codon, and T loops). Further hydrogen bonds mediate the characteristic L-shaped molecular structure. tRNAs have two regions of fundamental functional importance: the anti-codon, which is responsible for specific mRNA codon recognition, and the 3' end, to which the tRNAs corresponding amino acid is attached (by aminoacyl-tRNA synthetases). tRNAs cope with the degeneracy of the genetic code in two manners: having more than one tRNA (with a specific anti-codon) for a particular amino acid; and 'wobble' base-pairing, i.e. permitting non-standard base-pairing at the 3rd anti-codon position. The record is from RNAcentral.